AUUGAACGCUGGCGGCAUGCCUUACACAUGCAAGUCGAACGGCAGCGCGGGGCAACCUGGCGGCGAGUGGCGAACGGGUGAGUAAUAUAUCGGAACAUACCCUAGAGUGGGGGAUAACGUAGCGAAAGUUGCGCUAAUACCGCAUACGAUCUACGGAUGAAAGUGGGGGACCUUCGGGCCUCAUGCUUUUGGAGCGGCCGAUAUCUGAUUAGCUAGUUGGUGAGGUAAAGGCUCACCAAGGCGACGAUCAGUAGCUGGUCUGAGAGGACGACCAGCCACACUGGGACUGAGACACGGCCCAGACUCCUACGGGAGGCAGCAGUGGGGAAUUUUGGACAAUGGACGCAAGUCUGAUCCAGCCAUGCCGCGUGCGGGAAGAA
RNAcentral lists this ribosomal RNA (380 nucleotides) under uncultured bacterium. RNAcentral's name for it is "bacterial SSU rRNA". It matches the Rfam family "Bacterial small subunit ribosomal RNA", at positions 30 to 412 of the family's 1533-position model. The record is from RNAcentral.